GUUCAGGAGGGCCCUAGACUUACUACAGCUCUAUGGAUGUUACAUAGGGGCGGUGUUCAGGAGGGCCCUAGACUUACUACAGCUCUAGAGGUUACAUAGGGGCGGUGUUCAGGAGGGCCCUAGACUUACUACAGCUCUAUGGAGGUUAAAUAGGGGCGGUGUUCAGGAGGGCCCUAGACUUACUACAGCUCUAUGGAAGUUACAUAGGGGCGGUGUUCAGGAGGGCCCUAGACUUACUACAGCUCUAUGGAGGUUACAUAGGGGGGGUGUUCAGGAGGGCCCUAGACUUACUACAGCUCUAUGGAAGUUACAUAGGGGCGGUGUUCAGGAGGGCCCUAGACUUACUACAGCUUUAUGGAAGUUACAUAGGGGCGGUGUUCAGGAGGGCCCUAGACUUACUACAGCUCUAUGGAGGUUACAUAGGGGCGGUGUUCAGGAGGGCCCUAGACUUACUACAGCUCUAUGGAGGUUACAUAGGGGCGGUGUUCAGGAGGGCCCUAGACUUACUACAGCUCUAGAGGUUACAUAGGGGCGGUGUUCAGGAGGGCCCUAGACUUACUACAGCUCUAGAGGUUACAUAGGGGCUGUGUUCAGGAGGGCCCUAGACUUACUACAGCUCUAGAGGUUACAUAGGGGCGGUGUUCAGGAGGGCCCUAGACUUACUACAGCUCUAGAGGUUACAUAGGGGCUGUGUUCAGGAGGGCCCUAGACUUACUACAGCUCUAGAGGUUACAUAGGGGCGGUGUUCAGGAGGGCCCUAGACUUACUACAGCUCUAGAGGUUACAUAGGGGCUGUGUUCAGGAGGGCCCUAGACUUACUACAGCUCUAUAGGUUACAUAGGGGCGGUGUUCAGGAGGGCCCUAGACUUACUACAGCUCUAUGGAAGUUACAUAGGGGCGGUGUUCAGGAGGGCCCUAGACUUACUACAGCUCUAGAGGUUACAUAGGGGCGGUGUUCAGGAGGGCCCUAGACUUACUACAGCUCUAUGGAGGUUAAAUAGGGGCGGUGUUCAGGAGGGCCCUAGACUUACUACAGCUCUAUGGAAGUUACAUAGGGGCGGUGUUCAGGAGGGCCCUAGACUUACUACAGCUCUAUGGAGGUUACAU
Oncorhynchus keta (chum salmon) is the source of this 1107-nucleotide long non-coding RNA. RefSeq lists it as uncharacterized. Lineage: Eukaryota; Metazoa; Chordata; Actinopteri; Salmoniformes; Salmonidae. The transcript is spliced from 5 exons. The record is from RefSeq and is a predicted model, not a curated record.